Molecule: ribosomal RNA, 237 nt
Filed under: Triticum aestivum (bread wheat)
Lineage: Eukaryota; Viridiplantae; Streptophyta; Magnoliopsida; Poales; Poaceae
Description: partial small subunit ribosomal RNA
Source: RNAcentral
AUGAAUAACACCCAAUUCUCCCUUAUGUCCUGGAAUGUUAGGGGUCUGAACUCACCAGCGAGGAGAGCUGCGGUCUGUGAACUAGCUACAUCACAUAAAAAUUCAAUCCUCUGCCUGCAAGAGACGAAGCUGGAAUCCUGGUCGCCUAGCAUUGUGCAUGAACUGGGAAAACGGGUGGUGGAUGGUUGUGCGGUCCUGCUAGCCGUGGGCACUAGAGGAGGCGUGGCGAUCCUCUAG